RNAcentral lists this ribosomal RNA (497 nucleotides) under uncultured bacterium. RNAcentral describes it as "partial 16S ribosomal RNA". It matches the Rfam family "Bacterial small subunit ribosomal RNA", at positions 28 to 507 of the family's 1533-position model. The record is from RNAcentral.
GAUGAACGCUGGCGGCGUGCCUAAUACAUGCAAGUCGAGCGAACAGACGAGGAUCUUGCUCCUCUGACGUUAGCGGCGGACGGGUGAGUAACACGUGGAUAACCUACCUAUAAGACUGGGAUAACUUCGGGAAACCGGAGCUAAUACCGGAUAAUAUAUUGAACCGCAUGGUUCAAUAGUGAAAGACGGUUUUGCUGUCACUUAUAGAUGGAUCCGCGCCGCAUUAGCUAGUUGGUAAGGUAACGGUUUACCAAGGCAACGAUGCGUAGCCGACCUGAGAGGGUGAUCGUCCACACUGGAACUGAGACACGGUCCAGACUCCUACGGGAGGCAGCAGUAGGGAAUCUUCCGCAAUGGGCGAAAGCCUGACGGAGCAACGCCGCGUGAGUGAUGAAGGUCUUCGGAUCGUAAAACUCUGUUAUUAGGGAAGAACAAAUGUGUAAGUAACUAUGCACGUCUUGACGGUACCUAAUCAGAAAGCCACGGCUAACUACGUG